GAGGGUACAGCUCAAAUGGUAGAGCGUGUGCUUAACAUGUACAAGGUUCUGGGUUCAAUCCCCAGUACCUCCU
This 73-nucleotide transfer RNA is filed under the name Camelus bactrianus (Bactrian camel). It matches the Rfam family "tRNA". Rfam says of the family: Transfer RNA (tRNA) molecules are approximately 80 nucleotides in length. Their secondary structure includes four short double-helical elements and three loops (D, anti-codon, and T loops). Further hydrogen bonds mediate the characteristic L-shaped molecular structure. tRNAs have two regions of fundamental functional importance: the anti-codon, which is responsible for specific mRNA codon recognition, and the 3' end, to which the tRNAs corresponding amino acid is attached (by aminoacyl-tRNA synthetases). tRNAs cope with the degeneracy of the genetic code in two manners: having more than one tRNA (with a specific anti-codon) for a particular amino acid; and 'wobble' base-pairing, i.e. permitting non-standard base-pairing at the 3rd anti-codon position. Lineage: Eukaryota; Metazoa; Chordata; Mammalia; Artiodactyla; Camelidae. RNAcentral also lists the same sequence under 2 other names. The record is from Rfam by way of RNAcentral.